This 909-nucleotide ribosomal RNA is filed under the name Cellulomonas sp. KAR56. Its description in RNAcentral is "bacterial SSU rRNA". It matches the Rfam family "Bacterial small subunit ribosomal RNA", at positions 46 to 964 of the family's 1533-position model. The record is from RNAcentral. Lineage: Bacteria; Bacillati; Actinomycetota; Actinomycetes; Micrococcales; Cellulomonadaceae.
GCUUAACACAUGCAAGUCGAACGGUGACGAUGGAGCUUGCUCUGUCUGAUCAGUGGCGAACGGGUGAGUAACACGUGAGUAACCUGCCCCCGACUCUGGAAUAACCGUGGGAAACGACGGCUAAUACCGGAUAUGAGACGCACAGGCAUCUGUGGGUCUGGAAAGAUUUAUCGGUCAGGGAUGGACUCGCGGCCUAUCAGCUUGUUGGUGGGGUAAUGGCCUACCAAGGCGACGACGGGUAGCCGGCCUGAGAGGGCGACCGGCCACACUGGGACUGAGAUACGGCCCAGACUCCUACGGGAGGCAGCAGUGGGGAAUAUUGCACAAUGGGCGCAAGCCUGAUGCAGCGACGCCGCGUGAGGGAUGAAGGCCUUCGGGUUGUAAACCUCUUUCAGCAGGGAAGAAGCGAAAGUGACGGUACCUGCAGAAGAAGCGCCGGCUAACUACGUGCCAGCAGCCGCGGUAAUACGUAGGGCGCAAGCGUUGUCCGGAAUUAUUGGGCGUAAAGAGCUCGUAGGCGGUUUGUCGCGUCUGCUGUGAAAACCUGAGGCUCAACCUCGGGCUUGCAGUGGGUACGGGCAGACUAGAGUGCGGUAGGGGUGACUGGAAUUCCUGGUGUAGCGGUGGAAUGCGCAGAUAUCAGGAGGAACACCGAUGGCGAAGGCAGGUCACUGGGCCGCAACUGACGCUGAGGAGCGAAAGCAUGGGGAGCGAACAGGAUUAGAUACCCUGGUAGUCCAUGCCGUAAACGUUGGGCACUAGGUGUGGGGCUCAUUCCACGAGUUCCGUGCCGCAGCAAACGCAUUAAGUGCCCCGCCUGGGGAGUACGGCCGCAAGGCUAAAACUCAAAGAAAUUGACGGGGGCCCGCACAAGCGGCGGAGCAUGCGGAUUAAUUCGAUGCAACGCGA